RNAcentral lists this ribosomal RNA (464 nucleotides) under uncultured bacterium. RNAcentral's name for it is "partial 16S ribosomal RNA". It matches the Rfam family "Bacterial small subunit ribosomal RNA", at positions 338 to 795 of the family's 1533-position model. The record is from RNAcentral.
CCUACGGGUGGCAGCAGUGGGGAAUCUUCCGCAAUGGGCGAAAGCCUGACGGAGCAACGCCGCGUGAUCGAAUGAAGGCCUUCGGGUUGUAAAGAUCUGUUGACAGGGACGAAUAAGCAAUGCGAAUAGUUUUGUGUAUGACGGUACCUGUUUAGAAAGCUCCGGCUAACUACGUGCCAGCAGCCGCGGUAAUACGUAGGGAGCAAGCGUUGUCCGGAAUUACUGGGCGUAAAGGGCGCGUAGGUGGGCGCUUAAGUCAGGUGUGAAAACUCCGGGCUCAACCUGGGGACUGCACUUGAAACUGGGUGUCUUGAGGGCAGGAGAGGAAAGUGGAAUUCCUAGUGUAGCGGUGAAAUGCGUAGAUAUUAGGAGGAACACCAGUGGCGAAGGCGACUUUCUGGACAGUAACUGACGUUGAGGCACGAAAGUGUGGGGAGCAAACAGGAUUAGAUACCCGGGUAGUC